GACGAACGCUGGCGGCGUGCCUAACACAUGCAAGUCGAACGGAGAUAUGAUUUCGGUUGUAUCUUAGUGGCGAACGGGUGAGUAACGCGUGAGCAACCUGACUCUUAGAGGGGGAUAACACCCGGAAACGAGUGCUAAUACCGCAUAAGACCACGACAUGGCAUCAUGACGAGGUCAAAGGAGCAAUCCGCUGAGAGAGGGGCUCGCGUCCCAUUAGAUAGAUGGCGGGGUAAUGGCCCACCAUGUCAGCGAUGGGUAGCCGAGCUGAGAGGCUGAUCGGCCACACUGGAACUGAGACACGGUCCAGACUCCUACGGGAGGCAGCAGUGGGGAAUAUUGGGCAAUGGGCGCAAGCCUGACCCAGCAACGCCGCGUGAGGGAAGAAGGCUUUCGGGUUGUAAACCUCUGUCCUUGGUGACGAAAAAAUGACGGUAGCCAAGGAGGAAGCCCCGGCUAACUCCGUG
RNAcentral lists this ribosomal RNA (464 nucleotides) under uncultured bacterium. RNAcentral describes it as "bacterial SSU rRNA". It matches the Rfam family "Bacterial small subunit ribosomal RNA", at positions 28 to 507 of the family's 1533-position model. The record is from RNAcentral.